UACGGAGGGGGCUAGCGUUGUUCGGAAUUACUGGGCGUAAAGCGCGCGUAGGCGGACCUGCAAGUCGGGGGUGAAAGCCCGAGGCUCAACCUCGGAACUGCCUUCGAUACUGCGGGUCUCGAGUCCGGGAGAGGUGAGUGGAAUUCCUAGUGUAGAGGUGAAAUUCGUAGAUAUUAGGAAGAACACCAGUGGCGAAGGCGGCUCACUGGCCCGGUACUGACGCUGAGGCGCGAAAGCGUGGGGAGCAAACAGGAUAGAAACCCCGGUGAGU
Molecule: ribosomal RNA, 271 nt
Filed under: uncultured bacterium
Lineage: Bacteria
Description: partial 16S ribosomal RNA
Rfam family: Bacterial small subunit ribosomal RNA
Source: RNAcentral